GAAGCACCGGCUAACUCCGUGCCAGCAGCCGCGGUAAUACGGAGGGUGUCGAGCGUUAAUCGGAAUUACUGGGGCGUAAAGCGCAUGCAGGUGGUUUGUUAAGUCAGAUGUGAAAGCCCGGGGCUCAACCUCGUAACUGCAUUUGAAACUGGCAGACUAGAGUACUGUAGAGGGGGGUAGAAUUUUCAGGUGUAGCGGUGAAAUGCGUAGAGAUCUGAAGGAAUACCGGUGGCGAAGGCGGCCCCCCUGGACAGAUACUGACACUCAGAUGCGAAAGCGUGGGGAGCAAACAGGAUUAGAUACCCUGGUAG
This 311-nucleotide ribosomal RNA is filed under the name uncultured bacterium. RNAcentral describes it as "bacterial SSU rRNA". It matches the Rfam family "Bacterial small subunit ribosomal RNA", at positions 487 to 793 of the family's 1533-position model. The record is from RNAcentral.